RNAcentral lists this ribosomal RNA (253 nucleotides) under uncultured bacterium. RNAcentral's name for it is "partial 16S ribosomal RNA". It matches the Rfam family "Bacterial small subunit ribosomal RNA", at positions 524 to 776 of the family's 1533-position model. The record is from RNAcentral.
UACGUAGGGGGCAAGCGUUGUCCGGAAUCAUUGGGCGUAAAGAGCGUGUAGGCGGCCCGAUAAGUCCGCUGUGAAAGUCCAGGGCUCAACCCUGGAAUGCCGGUGGAUACUGUCGGGCUCGAGUCCGGAAGAGGUGAGUGGAAUUCCUGGUGUAGCGGUGAAAUGCGCAGAUAUCAGGAGGAACACCCAUAGCGAAGGCAGCUCGCUGGGACGGUACUGACGCUGAGGCGCGAAAGCGUGGGGAGCGAACAGG